RNAcentral lists this long non-coding RNA (1138 nucleotides) under Ananas comosus (pineapple). Its description in RNAcentral is "long non-coding RNA (ACOM_LNC025465)". Lineage: Eukaryota; Viridiplantae; Streptophyta; Magnoliopsida; Poales; Bromeliaceae. The record is from RNAcentral.
CCUUAGGGCCUAUUUGUUUUGAUGUAAGUGGAGUGAUGGAACUCAAGUUCCAUCACUUCUGUUAUUUGUUUUGAUAUAAUUAAAAAAUAUAAUAUAACUCAAGUUACGUUAGAGCUCCACUUCACCUACUCUCGACUUCCUCCUCUAAAGUGCUGAACUCGACUUCCACCACACUCAACUUCCUCUAAAAAAUUAACUAAUCAGUAAAACCUAAACUCGACUUCCUUUAUAAUCGAUUAGAAUUACCUUAUUUAUAAUAAAUUAGGAUUAUCUUUAAAUAAUAAUAAAAAAUUUAAUUAUAUAAUAGGUUAAAUUUUAUAGUGGUAAAUUUACUACUAUAUUUAGGAGAUAAUAGGAUCCACUUACUUACAUCAAAACAAACAACGGAACUUAAAAAACUAAUUUCACCAACACCAAGUUAUAUCAAAAUAAACAGAAGAAGUAAUUGAAUUUAACUUUCAGACUGUAUGAGUUACAUCAAAACAAACAAUAAAAAAAUAAUCACACUUCAGAGAAACUCAAACACCACUACACUUGACUUACGUUGGAUCUACAGAUUCGUCAAUCCAAACGCCCCCUUAGCUGAAGAGGAACCUUUGGGAACGGCAUAAGCAUCCGAAUCAUAAGUGUUGGAUAGUUGGCGCUAACCAUUAAUCCCAAAAGCUCGAGUUAUAAGAAAUACGCAACCAAUUCACUUAAAGUGUAUAGAAACAGCGCCUACGGGUUUCGAUUGUGACUCGGCCCACCUGGCCUCACGCCACUUCGAACAUGAUUCGGCCCAACCCAGCCUUACGCCAUUUCGAACAUGACUCGGUCCACAUGGCCUCUUGCCACAGGCAGGAUGCUGGCCGAUUUAAGCCAACAAUCCCCCCUCCAGCACCUGCACACAUUUGCAGUAUACAGGAAUCGAACCCGUGACCUCUAGCUCUGAUACCACUUGUCGGAUCGUUGACUCUAACCAUUAAUCCCAAAAGCUCGAGCUAUUAGAAAUACGCAACCAAUUCACUUAAAGUGUAUAGAAACAGCGCCCACGUGUUUCGAUUGUGACUCAGCCCACCUGGCUUCACGCCACUUCGAACAUGACUCAGCCCAACCCAGCCUCACGCCAUUUCGAACAUGACUCGGCCCACAUGGCCUC